CAAUCUAUAUUGUUCAUCACAUGGAAAUGUUUUUGUGAAGAUUUUAAUUUAGAAAAAAGAACAGAUUGUUUCAUGAAUUUGGCAUUACCUUUAGCCGUAAUUAUUUGAGAUUCCCUGUCUGCAGAGAGGAGAGUACUCAUUUAACAAUAUGUAUUUCACUAAAUCUACUAGCCAUUCCUUCAAAUUGUGAGCCUCUAUCAAAAUAAUUAUAAAACUAGUUUCAGACAUCUUUGUCCAAGUCCAAGUGAUGGCAUCCUCUUCCCCCUCCUUUUAUUCAUCCAACCACCAACGCCUCCUCUCCAUGACAAAACUCAUAACAUCCCACGUAAACCAAUCCCGCCACAAACAAGCUCUAUCUAUCUUCCACCACAUGCACACCACCUUACCCAUCUCCCUCGACCCACACGUCUUCACCCUCGUCCUCAAAUCCUGCACCACCCUCCACCUCCCUCUCCUCGCCACCUCCAUCCACUCUCACCUCAUCAAAACCUCGUUCCUCACCUCCAACCACUUCCUCUCCUCCUCCCUCAUCAACUUCUACGGCCACUGUCUCUCCCUCAACUCCGCACGUAAACUGUUCGACGAAACUCCUCAACCAAAUGUCAUCGUUUGGAACUCCAUUAUCGCACUAUACUCCCGUUCACAACAUAUUUCGUCUGCUAUUAAACUCUUUAACAUCAUGAAUGUGCCUCCAAAUGAAUCCACUUUCAACCCAAUUAUCGCCGCCUUAUCAUUGUCGAAUCAAAACAAUGCUUCGUUUCAAGCCGUGAAGUUCUACCGAAAAAUGAUUGAGUUGAAACUGAAGCCGAGUUUGAUCACGCUUCUCGCUCUUCUUCGCGCAUCUGUUUUGACUGCGGCUUUGAAUUUGAUUAAAGAGAUACAUGGUUAUGGGAUAAGGAAUGAUAUUGAUUCGGAUCCUCAAAUGAGUAGUGGGUUGAUUGAAGCUUACGGUAGAUGCGGUUGUUUAAUAAAUUCGCGAUUAGUUUUUUCGGGGAUGAGGGUAUGCGAUAAAGAUGUAGUUGUUUGGAGUAGUUUAAACAAUUUUAUUUAUUGAAAAGUGAAUUUUCUUGAUGGAUAAUCCAAACCAUAUUUAAAUUGGAUCUUCAUGCAUUUCUAAUAACUUUUACUACUAAAAAAACCUAAUGAUUAUAUAUUCUUAUCUCUUUCUUCGCCUAUCUAUAUUAAUUGAACCAUGCAUGGUUAAUUAAAAUGUCACUAAUUAUUAUCACACAACAUAUAUAUUUUUAGAGAUUAUUGCUAUACACUGUCAGUGUAAAUUUUUUUACACCGUCGAUCAUCACCAUCAUCCGUUUCUAUUACUUAUAGAUUUUUAAAAUAAAAGUCAAAUUUCUUUUAAUAUCCGACGUCUAUGAUUAACUGAUGAUGUAAAAUCUUUUUACACAUUGAAGUGGACAUUCACCUUUGUAAUGUUUGUACAACUCGCUCAAUUAAUAACAAAUGGAAAGUAGUACCACCGUCUUAAAUUAUAUGACAUUUUGAAUAUUUUAUAUAUAAAAAAUACAAUUUAUUAUAUAAAAGAGAAUAUAUAAAAUUUAUAAUAUUUUUAUUAAUUAUAGAAAAAAGAGAGAUUAAAAGAUUAGAAGAAAGAAGAAUAUUUCCUCUGUUCCAUAAUAAGUGACCAUUUGAAAUAAAAAAUGUCUUAAAAUAGUAAAAAUACAUUAAAAAAUAAUCAUUAAUAUUGUAUUGGAAUUACAAAAUAAUUUAUAUUUUUAAAUAAAUUUUUUAUAAAAUAAUUUAUAAUUUAAAAUAGGAGAGUAAUAAACAACUAUUUUUGUGCUUGCUUAGACAAUAUGUAUUUCACGUAACCAAUAUGUAUUUCACUAAAUCUACUAGCCAUUCCUUCAAAUUGUGAGCCUCUAUCAAAAUAAUUAUAAAACUAGUUUCAGACAUCUUGUCCAAGUCCAAGUGAUGGCAUCCUCUUCCCUCCUUUUAUUCAUCCAACCACCAACGCCUCCUCUCCAUGACAAAACUCAUAACAUCCCACGUAAACCAAUCCGCCACAAACAAGCUCUAUCUAUCUUCCACCACAUGCACACCACCUUACCCAUCUCCCUGACCCACACGUCUUCACCCUCGUCCUCAAAUCCUGCACCACCUCCACCUCCCUCUCCUCGCCACCUCCAUCCACUCUCACCUCAUCAAAACCUCGUUCCUCACCUCCAACCACUUC
This 2191-nucleotide long non-coding RNA is filed under the name Lathyrus oleraceus (garden pea). Its description in RNAcentral is "Pisum sativum (pea) long non-coding RNA (PSAT_LNC037635)". The record is from RNAcentral. Lineage: Eukaryota; Viridiplantae; Streptophyta; Magnoliopsida; Fabales; Fabaceae.